UAGGGAAUCUUCCACAAUGGGCGGCAAGCCUGAUGGAGCAACACCGCGUGAGUGAAGAAGGGUUUCGGCUCGUAAAGCUCUGUUGUUGGAGAAGAACGUGCGUGAGAGUAACUGUUCAUGCAGUGACGGUAUCCAACCAGAAAGUCACGGCUAACUACGUGCC
Molecule: ribosomal RNA, 163 nt
Filed under: uncultured bacterium
Lineage: Bacteria
Description: partial 16S ribosomal RNA
Rfam family: Bacterial small subunit ribosomal RNA
Source: RNAcentral